AAAGUACGUCGUAGUCCGGAUUGGAGUCUGCAACUCGACUCCAUGAAGUCGGAAUCGCUAGUAAUCGUAGAUCAGAAUGCUACGGUGAAUACGUUCCCGGGCCUUGUACACACCGCCCGUCACACCAUGGGAGUGGGUUGCAAAAGAAGUAGGUAGCUUAACCUUCGGGAGGGCGCUUACCACUUUGUGAUUCAUGACUGGGGUGAAGUCGUAACAAGGUAACCGUAGGGGAACCUGCGGUUGGAUCACCUCCUUA
This 256-nucleotide ribosomal RNA is filed under the name Pseudomonas aeruginosa. RNAcentral describes it as "partial 16S ribosomal RNA". It matches the Rfam family "Bacterial small subunit ribosomal RNA", at positions 1278 to 1533 of the family's 1533-position model. The record is from RNAcentral. RNAcentral also lists the same sequence under 1 other name. Lineage: Bacteria; Pseudomonadati; Pseudomonadota; Gammaproteobacteria; Pseudomonadales; Pseudomonadaceae.